AUUGAACGCUGGCGGCAUGCCUUACACAUGCAAGUCGAACGGCAGCACGGGAGCAAUCCUGGUGGCGAGUGGCGAACGGGUGAGUAAAGUAUCGGAACGUGCCCAGUCGUGGGGGAUAACGUAGCGAAAGUUACGCUAAUACCGCAUACGAUCUAUGGAUGAAAGCGGGGGAUCGCAAGACCUCGCGCGAUUGGAGCGGCCGAUAUCAGAUUAGGUAGUUGGUGGGGUAAAGGCUCACCAAGCCGACGAUCUGUAGCGGGUCUGAGAGGACGACCAGCCACACUGGGACUGAGACACGGCCCAGACUCCUACGGGGGGCAGCAGUGGGGAAUUUUGGACAAUGGGCGCAAGCCUGAUACAGCCAUGCCGCGUGCAGGAUGAAGGCCUUCGGGUUGUAAACUGCUUUUGUACGGAACGAAAAGGUUUGACUUAAUACGUUGGACUCAUGACGGUACCGUAAGAAUAAGCACCGGCUAACUACGUGCCAGCCGCCGCGGUAA
Molecule: ribosomal RNA, 500 nt
Filed under: uncultured bacterium
Lineage: Bacteria
Description: partial 16S ribosomal RNA
Rfam family: Bacterial small subunit ribosomal RNA
Source: RNAcentral